GGCUCAGGACGAACGCUGGCGGCGUGCUUAACACAUGCAAGUCGAACGGUGAACCUCCCUUCGGGGAGGGGAUCAGUGGCGAACGGGUGAGUAACACGUGAGCAACCUGCCCCUAGCUCUGGGAUAACCCCGGGAAACCGGAGCUAAUACCGGAUACGAGACCGAGCGGCAUCACACGGUCUGGAAAGUUUUUCGGCUAGGGAUGGGCUCGCGGCCUAUCAGCUUGUUGGUGGGGUAACGGCCUACCAAGGCGACGACGGGUAGCCGGCCUGAGAGGGCGACCGGCCACACUGGGACUGAGACACGGCCCAGACUCCUACGGGAGGCAGCAGUGGGGAAUAUUGCGCAAUGGGCGAAAGCCUGACGCAGCGACGCCGCGUGAGGGAUGAAGGCCUUCGGGUUGUAAACCUCUUUCAGCAGGGAAGAAGCGAAAGUGACGGUACCUGCAGAAGAAGCACCGGCUAACUACGUGCCAGCAGCCGCGGUAAUACGUAGGGUGCAAGCGUUGUCCGGAAUUAUUGGGCGUAAAGAGCUCGUAGGCGGUCUGUCGCGUCGGAUGUGAAAAUCCAGGGCUUAACCCUGGACCUGCAUUCGAUACGGGCAGACUAGAGUUCGGUAGGGGAGACUGGAAUUCCUGGUGUAGCGGUGAAAUGCGCAGAUAUCAGGAGGAACACCGGUGGCGAAGGCGGGUCUCUGGGCCGAUACUGACGCUGAGGAGCGAAAGCGUGGGGAGCGAACAGGAUUAGAUACCCUGGUAGUCCACGCCGUAAACGUUGGGCGCUAGGUGUGGGGAACCUUCCACGUUCUCCGUGCCGCAGCUAACGCAUUAAGCGCCCCGCCUGGGGAGUACGGCCGCAAGGCUAAAACUCAAAG
Molecule: ribosomal RNA, 873 nt
Filed under: uncultured bacterium
Lineage: Bacteria
Description: bacterial SSU rRNA
Rfam family: Bacterial small subunit ribosomal RNA
Source: RNAcentral